AUUGAACGCUGGCGGCAGGCUUAACACAUGCAAGUCGAGCGGGGUGAUGGUGCUUGCACUAUCACUUAGCGGCGGACGGGUGAGUAAUGCUUAGGAAUCUGCCUAUUAGUGGGGGACAACAUCUCGAAAGGGAUGCUAAUACCGCAUACGUCCUACGGGAGAAAGCAGGGGAUCACUUGUGACCUUGCGCUAAUAGAUGAGCCUAAGUCGGAUUAGCUAGUUGGUGGGGUAAAGGCCUACCAAGGCGACGAUCUGUAGCGGGUUUGAGAGGAUGAUCCGCCACACUGGGACUGACACACGGCCCAGACUCCUACGGGAGGCAGCAGUGGGGAAUAUUGGACAAUGGGGGGAACCCUGAUCCAGCCAUGCCGCGUGUGUGAAGAAGGCCUUAUGGUUGUAAAGCACUUUAAGCGAGGAGGAGGCUCUUUUGGUUAAUACCCAAGAUGAGUGGACGUUACUCGCAGAAUAAGCACCGGCUAACUCUGUGCCAGCAGCCGCCGUAA
RNAcentral lists this ribosomal RNA (503 nucleotides) under uncultured bacterium. RNAcentral's name for it is "partial 16S ribosomal RNA". It matches the Rfam family "Bacterial small subunit ribosomal RNA", at positions 30 to 523 of the family's 1533-position model. The record is from RNAcentral.